Molecule: long non-coding RNA, 969 nt
Organism: Myotis lucifugus (little brown bat)
Lineage: Eukaryota; Metazoa; Chordata; Mammalia; Chiroptera; Vespertilionidae
Exons: 2
Source: RefSeq, a predicted model, not a curated record
GCCGGGCGCGCAUCCGGCACCUGUCGGCUCCCCGGGCUGCCUGGCCGGCAGCCUGUGAGCGGGGCUGCUGGGCUGGGCCCCUGCCGACGUGUCCCGGCGGCGUGUGAGCCCCUCUGGUCCUUGGUUUCCCGGCGUGAGGAUCGGGGACAGCGGUUUCUGGUCCUUGCCCCGGGGGAUCCGCAGCGUCCCCAUCGUACAGCCGAGGAGGCUGAGCCCCGGAACGAUGACCUUGGCGUGCAAAGGCCUGCUUUCCCGCUAGGGUAUCCGGUCGGGCGGAGGCACGGUCCACUGCACUGGCCUGGAGCGCUAGCGCCGCUUCUGCUGGAUCGGGGUGUGUCCAAGCGCCGCCGUCCCGGGGAAGGACCCCGAGAGCGGGUCGGGCUGGUAGCGCGUGGGUUCUUGAUUUCCUGCAGGAAUAUUUCACCGCGUGAGUCCUGGUGACUCAGAGUCCGUUCAUUGCAGCCGGGGGCAGUGCCACAGGGACGGGCUUGGGGGAGAAGGAGCAGCGGGAGAGACGGGCGGGGCCGCUUUGGCUCCGGGAAACGCCGUGGGAGGGAGGGAGCCAACGGGCUGCUGCCCGCUCGGUUCAUCUUGGUUGUUGUUGGCAUCACUGUCCACGCCCACCGUGGCUCCUUGAAGUGGAUGCCUCCUGCCCUGUACCACGUGGGGCACUGGGAUCUCGGGGCUGGCUGAAACUCCUAGUUCGUAGGAUCCCACGUUUCCCGGGACAUCAGGUAGCCACCUGCUCCCAGGACUGGCUACUUCCAUGGAGCAGGGCCACGCAUGGACCAGGCCUUCCUCUCUCCCAUCGCAGGCCAAGGGACUUCUCCAUCUCCUGCCAUCAACUUCUCCAAGACCCUCUGCUGCUCCCCUCAAGCUCUUCUUAUUCCACUGAGAGAAUAAGCGGAAUAAGAACAUUAAACUCUGAGCCCAUUUCCAAUAAAACUGGUUUCCUUUUCCUUGAGUGCA